This 234-nucleotide ribosomal RNA is filed under the name uncultured bacterium. RNAcentral describes it as "partial 16S ribosomal RNA". It matches the Rfam family "Bacterial small subunit ribosomal RNA", at positions 96 to 334 of the family's 1533-position model. The record is from RNAcentral.
UGGCGGACGGGUGAGUAAUGUCUGGGAAACUGCCCGAUGGAGGGGGAUAACUACUGGAAACGGUAGCUAAUACCGCAUAACGUCGCAAGACCAAAGAGGGGACCUUCGGGCCUCUUGCCAUCGGAUGUGCCCAGAUGGGAUUAGCUAGUAGGUGGGGUAACGGCUCACCUAGGCGACGAUCCCUAGCUGGUCUGAGAGGAUGACCGGCCACACUGGAACUGAGACACGGUCCAG